This is a long non-coding RNA of Sinocyclocheilus anshuiensis, 299 nucleotides long. RefSeq lists it as uncharacterized. The transcript is spliced from 3 exons. Lineage: Eukaryota; Metazoa; Chordata; Actinopteri; Cypriniformes; Cyprinidae. The record is from RefSeq and is a predicted model, not a curated record.
CCACCACCUCCUGCUCACCAGCCAGUAACAUCGGCCACAUUUUUCUUUGCCUUGCCACUCAACAAGAGCAGUGUAAAAAAAAUGUAUUGCAAGAAUCUUCAGUCAACCUCAUUCCUUUGCUAGAAGCAGAGAAAAGCUUGUCCUAACCUAGCCUACUUUGUGACACUGUGGUCUAACUUGUCGUAAGUUUGAGUUUUUGUUACCCUUUUCAGACAGGAUUGUAAGUUAUAUUAUUUGUAGGGCUUCCCUCGACUAAAGAUUUUUCUGGUCGACUAGUAGUUGUUAAUUUUAAGCAUUAG